This 780-nucleotide long non-coding RNA is filed under the name Sorghum bicolor (sorghum). RNAcentral's name for it is "long non-coding RNA (SBIC_LNC016334)". The record is from RNAcentral. Lineage: Eukaryota; Viridiplantae; Streptophyta; Magnoliopsida; Poales; Poaceae.
GCAGAAGGAGCCUUUAGUCCCGAUUGAAGCCGAGCCUUUAGUCCUUAUUGGUAACACCAACCGAGAUUAAAAGCUAUUGUCACGUUCCGUCUCACCUGCCGCCGGGACUAAAUGUUGAAGUUUAGUUCCGGUUGGUAAUUGUAACUGGGAUUAAAUGUCCUUUCCUAUAUUUGAACUCUUCUUAUUCCCCUGGCCGAGCCCGAUCUUCACUCUUUUGUUGUGUUCUUCACAUUUGUUCUUACUUGUUCUUGCUCUCAUCUCCGGCUACUGAUUCAUUUCAUCAUUUCUACGCCAUCAUCGACUUGUUAAGAGGUCACUAGCUUCAUCUUCUCGACAUUAGCAGCGACAUAUGUCAUUUCCUAGUGUUUUAUAUGUUUUUUUUUAUUUUAUGAAUUCUACGCUAUUUUAAACUCCAAUCACUUGAUCGUUUGAAUAUUUGAAUGAUACCAACUAUAAUUAGUUCCCUAAAAUUUAACUUUUCAUUACUAUUAUGUCUACCACAUUUAAUGGUUUAGUUAGAUAAAUAGUGAUACUAUGGUUUUUUUAAUUAGUUUAGAAAAAAAUUUAAAACUUAUAAUACUUUAAUUUGCAAUUUGUGACCGAGUUAAUUAGUUAAUUAUAAAAAUAGAGAACUUUUGUGCUUUUUUAAUUUUGCUUGUUUAGAAAAAUUAGAAAUAGAGAAUUUUAGGGUUUUUUUAAAUUUAUGUAUAAAAAAUUACAAUACUUUAAUUUGCAAUUUAAGACAAGGUUAAUUAGUUAAUUAUAACUUGUAUGCAUGCC